GAGUUUGAUCCUGGCUCAGAGCGAACGCUGGCGGCAGGCCUAACACAUGCAAGUCGAACGAUCCUUCGGGAUAGUGGCGGACGGGUGAGUAACACGUGGGAACGUGCCCUUUGGUACGGAACAACUCAGGGAAACUUGAGCUAAUACCGUAUGUGCCCUUCGGGGGAAGAUUUAUCGCCAUUGGAGCGGCCCGCGUCUGAUUAGCUAGUUGGUGAGGUAACGGCUCACCAAGGCGACGAUCAGUAGCUGGUCUGAGAGGAUGAUCAGCCACACUGGGACUGAGACACGGCCCAGACUCCUACGGGAGGCAGCAGUGGGGAAUCUUGCGCAAUGGGCGAAAGCCUGACGCAGCCAUGCCGCGUGAAUGAUGAAGGUCUUAGGAUUGUAAAAUUCUUUCACCGGGGACGAUAAUGACGGUACCCGGAGAAGAAGCCCCGGCUAACUUCGUGCCAGCAGCCGCCGUAAC
RNAcentral lists this ribosomal RNA (466 nucleotides) under uncultured Alphaproteobacteria bacterium. RNAcentral's name for it is "bacterial SSU rRNA". It matches the Rfam family "Bacterial small subunit ribosomal RNA", at positions 9 to 524 of the family's 1533-position model. The record is from RNAcentral. Lineage: Bacteria; Pseudomonadati; Pseudomonadota; Alphaproteobacteria.